GAAGUUGCCGCUUGGGAUGCCCUCCUUCAGGUCAUGGCCCUCCUACCUAUCGACGGCGUCGACACCCCGGAUGCCACUUCUUGGCGUUUGGAGCCUUCCGGCUGCUUCUCCACCAAAUCCCUCUACGCGGCCAUCGCCCCCUCGCCGGCCUUCGAGCCCUUUAGUUUGAUUUGGGACAUCCGCCUACCCCUGAAGAUCAGGAUCUUCCUGUGGCAAUGGAUUCGCGGCCGCCUCCCGUCUGGCGUGGAGGUCCUUAAGCGUAAUGGACCUGGGGAUGGGAUGUGCCCC
This 288-nucleotide ribosomal RNA is filed under the name Triticum aestivum (bread wheat). Its description in RNAcentral is "partial small subunit ribosomal RNA". Lineage: Eukaryota; Viridiplantae; Streptophyta; Magnoliopsida; Poales; Poaceae. The record is from RNAcentral.